Molecule: ribosomal RNA, 271 nt
Filed under: uncultured bacterium
Lineage: Bacteria
Description: partial 16S ribosomal RNA
Rfam family: Bacterial small subunit ribosomal RNA
Source: RNAcentral
UACGGAGGGGGUUAGGUUGUUCGGAAUUACUGGGCGUAAAGCGCGCGUAGGCGGACUAUUAAGUCAGGGGUGAAAUCCCGGGGCUCAACCCCGGAACUGCCUUUGAUACUGGUAGUCUUGAGUUCGAGAGAGGUGAGUGGAACUCCGAGUGAGAGGUGAAAUUCGUAGAUAUUCGGAAGAACACCAGUGGCGAAGGCGGCUCACUGGCUCGAUACUGACGCUGAGGUGCGAAAGUGUGGGGAGCAAACAGGAUUAGAUACCCCUGGAGUCC